This 474-nucleotide ribosomal RNA is filed under the name uncultured bacterium. RNAcentral's name for it is "bacterial SSU rRNA". It matches the Rfam family "Bacterial small subunit ribosomal RNA", at positions 26 to 518 of the family's 1533-position model. The record is from RNAcentral.
AGGACGAACGCUGGCGGCGUGCCUAACACAUGCAAGUCGAGCGGGGAACCCCUUCGGGGGUUCCAGCGGCGGACGGGUGAGUAACGCGUGAGCAACCUUUCCUUCACAGGGGGAUAACGCAGCGAAAGCUGUGCUAAUACCGCUUAAGACCACAAUGUCGCAUGGCAAAGGGGUCAAAGGAGAAAUCCGGUGAAGGGUGGGCUCGCGUCUGAUUAGCUAGUUGGCGGGGUAACAGCCCACCAAGGCAACGAUCAGUAGCCGACCUGAGAGGGUGAUCGGCCACACUGGGACUGAGACACGGCCCAGACUCCUACGGGAGGCAGCAGUGGGGAAUAUUGGGCAAUGGGGGAAACCCUGACCCAGCAACGCCGCGUGAGGGAAGAAGGUUUUCGGAUCGUAAACCUCUGUCCUCAGGGACGAAGAAAUGACGGUACCUGAGGAGGAAGCCCCGGCUAACUACGUGCCAGCAGCUGC